Molecule: long non-coding RNA, 944 nt
Organism: Pseudophryne corroboree (corroboree frog)
Lineage: Eukaryota; Metazoa; Chordata; Amphibia; Anura; Myobatrachidae
Exons: 4
Source: RefSeq, a predicted model, not a curated record
GUCUGGCGCCAUCUCUUCCUCUAGCCACGCCUCCCACUCUCCUCUGCUGUAUCGAGCGACCACUCCUUCUGACACUCCCCCAGCCAAUCACGGCUGGUCCUGCGCAGCCUCUUCCUUUAGCCACGCCUCCCGCUCUCUUCCGCUCUGCAACUCUCCGUCACUCCGCCGGGACCACCUGCCGGCCUGAACUUCAGGGGACCAUGUCAGAGAUCGCGAUUUCCUUUGAACUCCUUCACACUAACAAUAGAUAUUACAGUCUCUUAUAUCCUCUGACAGUUACUAGCUUCCUUGCAGAAGUCUAAAGGGCUAGACUCUUCUCAUAAGGUUUUUGACCCAGGAGGAUCUCUUUCUACCUUUUCAGAUCUUUCCAACAAAUUUUUAUUACCGCACACCCACAGAUCAACAUCAAAGACGACAUUUGGUUGCUGAAGAAGACGGUCACUGUCUUAAAUGUGGAAUUACGAUAGCUGACUUUUCCCAUUGUAUGUGGAAUUGUUUUAAAUUAAAACGUUUUUGGUGCAAGCUAAUUACUGUUAUCAAUUCCAUAUUUCAUACCAAUUUGAUUUUUGACCCAUUAGUAUGUAUGGGGCUACAUUUUCAUAUGUGGGCAUUAAAAAAUGUCAAUAACCAUGCUUUUCCCUUACUCAUUACGAUUAUAACAGUAGCCAGAAAAUGCGUAUUGAUCCACUGGACCAAAAAAUCAGCUCCGCAAUUACUUGAAGUGAAACAAAAACUUCUUCAAAUAUUGUAUUUUGAAGUAAAAUAUGCAAGAUUAGACAUACACUCAGGAGUACAAUUUUUUUUAAUCAAAAAUGGUCUUUAUUGAUAAUCUUGACAUACAUAUGGAAACGCAUAUUUUAACCUGUUUUGAACAUGUAUAUUCUAAGUAUGAUAUUUCAGUUAGGCCUUAGUAUGUUAAAUAACCUGGUAAAAUGAUGAGCGCU